Heterocephalus glaber (naked mole-rat) is the source of this 359-nucleotide long non-coding RNA. NCBI's taxonomy places the organism in Eukaryota, Metazoa, Chordata, Mammalia, Rodentia, Bathyergidae. The record is from Ensembl.
GGUUUCUAUCAGGAGAGGCACUCUGGAGUUAAGUGGUUAAGCUCUCGGACUGCAGGGUUUUUCAUCCAUAAGAAUUAGGAGCUCCCACGGUAGACGUUUGCUAAGCAGCACCAAUCAUUCUCGUUCUUAUUCAUGGUUUGCUGCGUGAAUUGUGUAGAAAGCAGAGGGUUUCCAAAACUCAUCCCCUUCAUCCUCAGUACUUGGGAACACAGGAAUGUUGGGCAACCACUAAAGAUACAAGAACAAAGCCACAAAUCCAGCAGGACGUGGUGGCGCUGGCUGAGGCAGGAGGCUUGCCAAGCUUGAGCCCCAAGGCAACAAAGAGAGACACUAACUCAGAAUAAAAAUUUUUAAAAGGC